GGAGUUUGUAGGUAUUACCAGUUGUCCAGUGUGUGCAGGAAUGAAUGGAAGUCAUUUCAUUGUCCCCAGUAUGCUUUGGAUCAGAAAACAUCAAUGCACGGCAUCUGUCUCAUUUAACGACAACAAUAACAAGCGAAUGAGAAAACGAAUGAGGAGCUGUCUUCUAAGAGACAAGAGAAAAUCCCUUCGUUAUUUGCAGAUGUUUCCCCAUCCAGAGCUGUACUGGGGGGAGGAAGGGGUAGAUGAGAAAUUAAUGAAAGAGAGAGAGACCUGUGUCACAGCACUGAGAAACUCCACCAGGAGCCAUUCCCAGCAGCGUGUAACAUGAUCUUUCCUGACGACCAACACCUGUGCCAUAGGAAGGUCGAGAGCAGAGCUUGGUUCCAGGUCUGUAGCAGUGAGCGGCGUAUCCUGGCACUUUCUGAAAUGAAGUCAGAUUUUGGCACCAUCCCUUCAGCUGUGAUGAAAGUUACAACAGGGAGGUACUCUGGAAAACGUGGUUCUUGUCCACCCGGAAGAUUUGGGGGCCAUAUUUGUAAAGCUGGAGACCAACUUAUUCAUAACAGUUGGUGUCCCACAGGGGUCCUGAUCUGCAAAAUUAGCCGCUGUAUGCAUUCGAAGCCUGCCAUAUUUCUGAAGGCUGCCGUGAACUUGUGAUGCUUCUGCAGUGCCAUCACUGAGGCUUCUCCAAUGAACUGAGAGCCACUUCCACCCCAGUCCUUGGAGAGCUGUCCAGACCAUCUCUGUCCAUAGAUGACCCUCCCCGCACUCCAUGCCAAGGGAUGAGAGGCUCCUGGGUUCUCUCCCCAGUGCCACCUCCACCCAAGACUCUCCAGCUGCAGCGACCCUUCCCUGUACAGCAGCAUUGGGACAGGCUUUAAAGCUGCUGGCUAUCACAGCAACUAAAAGCAACUGGACUGCUGCUAUCUAGUGUCUGCAGCAACACUAGAUACCCGAACGUAUGAUGGUGGGCACCAGACUCAGCCCUGAUAGGGUUAUUUUUAUCCUUUCAAUUGAGAGGAUGUAAUACUCUGGGAACAGGGGAAGGAAAUGCCCCACUGUUCCGUCUUAGCUCCAGAUCUGAUUUUUUGCACGCGGUCUCUGAGCGGUGAGGUUCUGGUGCAGGCUGCCCGGAGAGCUCUGAGUGCCCCAUCCCUGGAGGUGCUCCAUGCUGGGUUGGAUGGGCCCUGGGCAGCCUGAGCUGCUGGGGACAACAAGCCCACAGCAAGGAGUGGGCUUUAAGCGUGGGCUCCCUUCCAACCCAAACCAUUCUUUGAUUCUUUGAUUCUAUGAUUCUAUGACCAGUGGACUUUGAGCUGGACCCUCAAAAGCAGCUCCACAUCCUCUAAUGAAAUGGUCCCAUAAACUGCAGAAGUGCUGAGCUACCCAGGCUGAGCAGCCCUGGAAUACGUGCAGGCAGCAUCUUCCAAUGGCAGUUACUCUUGCACCUUGGAGUUUGGCAAGCACUUCUUUUUUUUUUUUAGGAGAAAAAAAUAAUUAACCUUCAAUUCAGGUCCCAGCUCGCAUAACCACAGAUAGAUUCGACUAAUAAUUUGCUUGCUUAAGUGACUCAUAAUAAACACUGUGCGUUUACUUUUGCUUUGAGAGCA
This 1610-nucleotide long non-coding RNA is filed under the name Numida meleagris (helmeted guineafowl). RNAcentral describes it as "lncRNA (ENSNMEG00000020053.1)". Lineage: Eukaryota; Metazoa; Chordata; Aves; Galliformes; Numididae. The record is from RNAcentral.